Molecule: ribosomal RNA, 429 nt
Filed under: Bacteroidota bacterium
Lineage: Bacteria; Pseudomonadati; Bacteroidota
Description: Bacteroidetes bacterium partial 16S ribosomal RNA
Rfam family: Bacterial small subunit ribosomal RNA
Source: RNAcentral
UAGGGAAUCUUCCGCAAUGGACGCAAGUCUGACGGAGCAACGCCGCGUGAGUGAAGAAGGAUUUCGGUUCGUAAAACUCUGUUGUUAGAGAAGAACAGCGCAUAGAGUAACUGUUAUGCGUGUGACGGUAUCUAACCAGAAAGCCACGGCUAACUACGUGCCAGCAGCCGCGGUAAUACGUAGGUGGCAAGCGUUGUCCGGAUUUAUUGGGCGUAAAGCGAGCGCAGGCGGUCAAUUAAGUCUGAUGUGAAAGCCCCCGGCUCAACCGGGGAGGGUCAUUGGAAACUGGUUGACUUGAGUGCAGAAGAGGAGAGUGGAAUUCCAUGUGUAGCGGUGAAAUGCGUAGAUAUAUGGAAGAACACCAGUGGCGAAGGCGACUCUCUGGUCUGUAACUGACGCUGAGGCUCGAAAGCGUGGGUAGCAAACAGG